AUUAAAUACACCAUGAUAGGCAGGGUUCACACGCUGCUUUAACCUCAAUUUACAAACCACAAAGCCUGGAUUUAUAUAGCAUGCUAAGCCACAAUGAAGUCAUCAAGACCUAGCAUGUUAACAAUUUAUUACUAUUAUCACCAUUAUGUUACUUUUUCUCCAGGAGCCUGAGGCAGCUUACCUAAGAGUCCAACUUUAUUUUAAUUCCCACUGAAAUAAUCCUGUGAGGUAGGUUGCACUGAGUGCAUCACUGACCCAAAGUUACUCAAGCAGUUUCUAAGGUGAGGGUGGAUUGAAACAGAAGACUUUGACAGUUUUUGUCCAAUAUCUUUAACCACUGUAUCAGCUGGUGCAGUUGAACCCCUGGCAUAGAGUGAGGCUAGUUAUAUCACUAUGUUUAACCCCUGCUUCAUUAGCUAUUAGAGCUAGGCAAAGCAUUCAGAAAGGGUAGUUAUGAAGCAUGCUGGUGUGAGCAAAGCCUCUCCGAAGAGUUAAAGCAGCUGCUACAUUAUGUAAAAAGCUCAACAAAGCUGCUUGAAAAACUCCCCAGCUGUCUGCAUGUGAGUGCAUAAGCAGCCUUUUGGCCAGGAAUGUCAACAUGUUUUGCACAGUUCUAUUAGCCACAAUGGCAUUUGUUUCCACAUCCCAUUCAGAAUACAGGUUCUGACUUUUAAUGCCCUAAAUCACUAUAUGGCCCAAUAUCUUGCAGACCACAUUCUCCUGCAGUCAGCCAUAAGUAAGCUUACAUGCUACAAUAUAGGGUAAGUUAAUGUCUAGACCAGUGUUUCUCUGGACUUCAACUCCCAGAAUUCCCCAGCCAGCUAUGUCCACACAUCUUAAAGCUGAUGAGGAUGAGAAACACUGGUCUAGACAAUAAAGGGCUUAGAGGUUGCACUGGAGAAGAGACCUGAAAAGCAAGCAUGUGCAAGACUGUAUCAAGAUAUCAGAUGUCCCAAGCCAUCUAUAAUGGGAUAGAGAAUUCUUGAGAAUCAUUUUUAAAAUAAAAUUCUUAUACUCCCUAUGGUCACCCAACAAUCAUGGAAGAGGACAUCUUGAUCAGAUGGAAGACCACCAGGCUUUGAUGUAUUAUCUUAUCGGCAAUCAAGCUGAGGUAAUCCAACACUGCUUAUAAAAGAGAGCUGGAGGGAAGAGAAAUCUGAAGUCCCAUCUUCCACUUCAUCAAGGGUCAUCUUAAAGAGCGCUCAAGAGAACUUCCCAUACCUUUUUGUUGUUUGGCCAGGUACUAAGUCUUUCAUAUGUAAGAUAUGAAUGACUGACAGAGUGAAUGAAAAAUUGCCUAUGUGGCUAAAAUAAUGCUUUUAAAAUCUAUUGGUAGUCUCCUGGAGUUGUUGGGUUAUUUCCACUAAGAUUGCUCUGGUGCUGCAUAAAAGAUUCCUAAAUCCAUAGCAGAGGAUAAACCUCUUGUGACAUAUAAACCAUAAUAGCCAGGUUCACACAAUAUGCUUAGUACAGUACUAACCUCAAACUCUCAGGGUUCAGUUUCAAGGAAACAGAUACAGGAAAAUAGACACGAAGCCUAUAAGCAGAAGUCCAUAUGGACAAGACCCCUAACCCAAUCAAAGCCAACCCUGAGUGGCAUAUAAUUUGCCAUAUUUAUAAAUUCAGACUAAAAACUGAAACACCAUUCCUCUCCAGAGGGAGCCUGGGGAAGCAGCCAUGCUUUAAUAGACUUUCUAAAAGCCAGGAAAGGAGGCCAUUCCAGGGCACAGCUGCAACUGAAAGGCACGCUUCCAAGGUCCCUGCAGAUGGCAGUUCCUGAGAAAAGGGACUCAGACUGAGCCUGCCCUGGGCAGGUCCACGUUACUAUGAAAAUGUGGUCCUGCAGAUAUCCAGGCCCUGAACCAUGAAGGCUUUGAAAGGUGACAACCAAGACCUCCAAUUGCGCCCAGAAGCCAAGUGACAGCCGGUUCAGCUCUCAAAGCAGAAGCAUUCCAGGGGUGCCUAAGCAAGUCACUGCAUUCUAGGCCAGCUGUGGCUUCUGACUGCUCUUCAAGAGCAGACCCAUGGAGCGCGCAUCACAGUAAUCCAACUGGAAGCCAACUAAGGCAUGAGUGACUGUAAGCAAUUUUCAGUGACACAAUUUUCUCUGAUUUUGGUACUGUCUUUUCACUGCAAAAGCAGCCCAGCAACAAACUGUUGUUGGGACCAGCUAGUCCAGUGGUUUCCAAUAUUUCUAGGCUAGUGGGCACAUCUGUUAUCGUGAAAACAUGUUGUGUUUGUGCUUUUCCUGCUAACUUUGAUUCUUUUUCUUUGCAGGUGGACAGACUUCUGAACAACUUCUUUUUGUAAUCUAACGGAGAUCCACUGGAAGCUCAGAAACAUUCUUGCCAGUGCUGUAAAGACGACUUGGAAGGCUGGCAUUAUGCUUUGUAGUAUUCCAGCAGCAUCCUAUUUUUAAUUAAACACUUUUUAAAAACAUAAACAAGUAUAGGGGAUAGGGAGUUUGCUAAGCAGCAAGGUGGAUGUACACGAGCACAUUCAGUGGAGUGAGGACAUACUUGGUUAUUUGUAGAAGUAGGGUAUUUACAGCUGCUACUGUGCCAGUUUACAGGGUAAAACAAUUUAGUGGAAGCUUCUGUAACAUGCACCCUCAUUUUUAAACCACAAUUUCCAAGAUCCCCAUCCAACAAUUAUGAUGACUAGAGUGGUGGGAACUGAAUUUUGGCACAACUGGAUGGGGGCACUAGAUUAGUGAAAAAAAUGAUUUACAGUGGUAGAGUUCCUAGACCUGGAUUUCCCCCUACCAAAACACGAGAGGAGCAUCCUCCAGAAGCGUUCCUCCGAGUCCGCCUAAGUUGGACUUACUUGGCUUCUCCGAGGUUCCGGGAAACAAAGAAAAAAAAAAAAGCAACUAAACGGGUCCGUCCUGACGUUAUGAAAUGAAGAACUCCUGACCCGGGAUGUAGAAAGGCGCUUCCUUCUGUCUCUCAUUGCUUUCACAGGGCGGAAACUCCAGCCACUGGACUAGUGUUGGCACAGAGCCUAGCCGUUCAGUGUAAAGGUUACAGGCCGAGGAGGCCGGGCGGGCUUUGGAGCAAGGAAAGCCGCGGGCGCACCUUGCGAGGGGGCAGGGGACGCUCUGCUCUGCUCUGCCUGCUCCCUCCCUUUUCCUCCCAGUUACUGUUUUCGUGCCCGGGGGGACGCCUCACCCGCGCGCUAAAGGAGGCGCUCCUGCUCGCCAGUUUUGAAGUGGCAGCCCCGCUACUGCUGCUGCUCCUCCUCCUCCAGCCCCAGCUGCGCGGAGCGCUUUCGCGCGGCUUUGCCUCCUCUUCCUUCCACACGGGGGGCUGACCAUGACGGCGAAACCCGGGAAGUUCUGGCACGAGGCGUCGCACCAAAUCCUCGCUGGCGGCUCCGCAGGUCUUGUAGAAAUUUGCCUGAUGCAUCCCCUCGAUGUGGUGAAAACCAGCUCGGCAAGUACCACCUGCUCAGUUGCUUUGGAAGAACACUAAGAUGUUUAGGGCUAGCAUUGUAUCAUCAUCAUCAUCAUCAUCAUCAUCAUCAGG
Non-coding RNA from Python bivittatus (Burmese python), 3527 nucleotides. NCBI's taxonomy places the organism in Eukaryota, Metazoa, Chordata, Lepidosauria, Squamata, Pythonidae. The record is from RefSeq and is a predicted model, not a curated record.